GGCUCAUGGAAUUGGCGACGAGAAUGGUCAUAUGGACGAUGAAGAUCCUGCCAGCGAUUGGGAAGAUAAAUUAGGAGGGAAUGUGCCACCUAGCAACAAGCGGAUGUAUGCAUUAAGAGCCAAUCCCAAUCGAUUUAAGAGUUGUCGUGCUUGUGAAAAUUGUGGCAAGGAAUUUUUAUCAUGGAAAUCCUUUCUUGAACAC
This 202-nucleotide unclassified non-coding RNA is filed under the name Hevea brasiliensis (rubber tree). Lineage: Eukaryota; Viridiplantae; Streptophyta; Magnoliopsida; Malpighiales; Euphorbiaceae. The record is from RNAcentral.